ACUGAACGCUGGCGGCAUGCCUUACACAUGCAAGUCGAACGGUAGAGGGGGGCAACCCCUUCGAGAGUGGCGAACGGGUGAGUAAUGCAUCGGAACGUGCCCAGUCGUGGGGGAUAGCCCGGGGAAACCCGGAUUAAGACCGCAUACGACCUGAGGGUGAAAGCGGGGGACUCGCAAGGGCCCCGCGCGAUUGGAGCGGCCGAUGUCGGAUUAGGUAGUUGGUGGGGUAAAGGCCUACCAAGCCUGCGAUCCGUAGCUGGUCUGAGAGGACGACCAGCCACACUGGGACUGAGACACGGCCCAGACUCCUACGGGAGGCAGCAGUGGGGAAUUUUGGACAAUGGGGGCAACCCUGAUCCAGCCAUGCCGCGCGCGGGAAGAAGGCCUUCGGGUUGUAAACCGCUUUUGUCAGGGAAGAAAUGUCCUGGGCUAAUACCCUGGGGGGAUGACGGUACCUGAAGAAUAAGCACCGGCUAACUACGUGCCAGCCGCCGCUGUAA
This 500-nucleotide ribosomal RNA is filed under the name uncultured bacterium. RNAcentral's name for it is "partial 16S ribosomal RNA". It matches the Rfam family "Bacterial small subunit ribosomal RNA", at positions 30 to 523 of the family's 1533-position model. The record is from RNAcentral.